RNAcentral lists this transfer RNA (73 nucleotides) under Danio rerio (zebrafish). RNAcentral's name for it is "tRNA-Arg (TCT) (tRNA-Arg-TCT-27 1 to 5)". It matches the Rfam family "tRNA". Rfam says of the family: Transfer RNA (tRNA) molecules are approximately 80 nucleotides in length. Their secondary structure includes four short double-helical elements and three loops (D, anti-codon, and T loops). Further hydrogen bonds mediate the characteristic L-shaped molecular structure. tRNAs have two regions of fundamental functional importance: the anti-codon, which is responsible for specific mRNA codon recognition, and the 3' end, to which the tRNAs corresponding amino acid is attached (by aminoacyl-tRNA synthetases). tRNAs cope with the degeneracy of the genetic code in two manners: having more than one tRNA (with a specific anti-codon) for a particular amino acid; and 'wobble' base-pairing, i.e. permitting non-standard base-pairing at the 3rd anti-codon position. Lineage: Eukaryota; Metazoa; Chordata; Actinopteri; Cypriniformes; Danionidae. The record is from RNAcentral.
GGCUCUGUGGUGCAAUGGAUAGCGCAUUGGACUUCUAAUUCAAAGGUUGUGGGUUCGAGUCCCACCAGAGUUG